Xenia sp. Carnegie-2017 is the source of this 983-nucleotide long non-coding RNA. RefSeq lists it as uncharacterized. The record is from RefSeq and is a predicted model, not a curated record. Lineage: Eukaryota; Metazoa; Cnidaria; Anthozoa; Malacalcyonacea; Xeniidae. The transcript has 2 exons.
ACAAUAAUUGGUAAAAUGAAAAAUGUUGAUGGCAACAACUGGAUUCGUCGCCUUCAGUGAAGUAUUUGCAUAUCAUGACACAGCAACUGUUCAAUAUUAACUUGGCCACAAAUAUUGGUCAUGUACAUUUGUAAACGAAGUCACUAUAAAGUCAUACACCCUAAUACAUAGGAUCGUUUAAUGACUAAUCUUAAAUAACUCAGUUAUCAGUACAUUGGUACGUAUCAGUACAAUGUGUCGCUAAAAGAACAAAUUUAGUGACUCAUAGAUAAAGUAUUCAUCUUACUUACCAUAUUUAAAGAAGCUAAUGACUGUAUCCACUGAACUAUCAUUCAGAUUUGAUUUGCAUAUAAAGACAUCUAUGCUCAUAUUUUUGGACAAUUUUUCUUACAGAUCUGAUUUGCGUAUCGUCUUUUCGAUUCAUUUUUCGAACAAUUUUUCAAUAGAUUAGUGUGACAGCGUGUACUUAUUCAUAUAGAUCGCCAAAAUACAAUGAAACUGAUCUUACCAUAAAAGACCAAGGAAUUUUUAACGGAAAUGCAAGGUCAACUGUGAAAUUGCAACGAGAAAACUUCAAUUCAAUAAUAUCAAUGAUUUCUAGCGAGCGUCGUUAAUCUUUAUUGUUCUUGUUAAAAUUUUUGAAAACUUCCUAUUGCGACAAAGUAGAAUGUUUGUUAUUUCUACACAAACAGGCGAUAAAUCUAUUGAAAGAAAAUAUCAUUAAGAAUAUUAAAUUAUACUGACAAUAAAGUGAAACCGAAGAUGGACACGUCACAUUUGAAAGAAAUUAACAGGAUCAACAUUGAAGUGAAGACAAUCAUCUUUGACCUUGGUGGUAAAUCGUUAUACCACACCGCACAAAUGCAUGAGCGUAGUUGUUUCAUUGUUGUUACUUCUAUCUACUGAUUUUAAACUAGUUUUAGCAAAAGGUAAAGCCUUGAAUAUUGAAAAAUAAAAGUUUUUCCGGAUUUUUUUAUAAAUAA